AGGGCUAUGGUGAAGUGGACAAACACAUCUGGUUGCAACCCAGACAAUCGCCAGUUCGAAUCUGGUUAGUCCUU
RNAcentral lists this transfer RNA (74 nucleotides) under Bacillus phage vB_BanS-Tsamsa. It matches the Rfam family "tRNA". From Rfam's summary of the family: Transfer RNA (tRNA) molecules are approximately 80 nucleotides in length. Their secondary structure includes four short double-helical elements and three loops (D, anti-codon, and T loops). RNAcentral also lists the same sequence under 2 other names. The record is from Rfam by way of RNAcentral. Lineage: Duplodnaviria; Heunggongvirae; Uroviricota; Caudoviricetes.